GAGAAUCGCCGGAACAAAUCGCC
Molecule: non-coding RNA, 23 nt
Filed under: Arabidopsis thaliana (thale cress)
Lineage: Eukaryota; Viridiplantae; Streptophyta; Magnoliopsida; Brassicales; Brassicaceae
Source: RNAcentral